AACAUAUCUAAGUCGGACAUCUGUAAUAAGUGGGAGAAGUCAGGCCACUCUGCUCAUGUCACCAUACAGAACAAUUACUGGCUGACAGCACCAUGAGCUGUCCAUUUCCGAUUGAUUGUGCCGUGGCUGCUGCUUCAAGUUUCAGCACCACAAUGUAAGUUACUCGAAUCUGACUUCUUGUGAGGUCAAUAACUCUGAUAAACCUUUUUUUGAUAUACUCAGAGGACCGUUAUUAACAUGUUUUAACCACUCCUUCAUUAUUACUGAAACAGGAUUCAAAGUGGUAAAUAUAAAGAUCCAGUCCAUAAACAAAUUGGAGGCCCCUUACACUUCAGUGUUGUGAUGCAAAAAUGCUAGCAAAAUGUAUAGCGCAUAGAAUUAAAAGGUAUUGUCGGACAUUAUUAAUUAUAAUCAGACAUGUUUUUUACAUGGACAAUAUAUUUAAGAUCAUUGAGGCCCAUGUUGACAAGAUGUUGGGGAAUCACUGGAGGGGAAUAUUGACCAACUGAGCAUCUCAGUGUACAUCUCAAUAAACACAAUAGGUGUUUUGUUACAUUUCAGUCCUCUGUGAAAUAUUUAAAGUGUCAUAUUGGGGUGCAAACUCAACAAUGAAUACAUUUAAACUAUAUCUGACAUGUUACUGUUGUCUUCUUAUUUAAGCCACUGACCAUGUGUGUGAGGUGUAAACAGGAUGUACAUACAUGGGAAUAAACACAUGACAUAGAAAAUAAAAAUAUUGACAUUUAGGAAUUCAAAAUGCAUCUAAAUAUAUUUUGUUCUGUCUAUGGAAUACAUUAAAAAAACCUGGACAUUUUUUUUAUAUGUGUAUAAAAUAUACUUGUCUGUACAGUAAGUAAAUGCAGGAAAUCCAAAUGCACAAAAAUAUGUUUUUGUAAUGUCUAAAAUAAAAUAUAUGUGUAUAAUA
This is a long non-coding RNA of Salvelinus fontinalis (brook trout), 925 nucleotides long. RefSeq lists it as uncharacterized. The transcript is spliced from 2 exons. Lineage: Eukaryota; Metazoa; Chordata; Actinopteri; Salmoniformes; Salmonidae. The record is from RefSeq and is a predicted model, not a curated record.